UACGUAGGGUGCGAGCGUUGUCCGGAAUUAUUGGGCGUAAAGAGCUCGUAGGCGGCUUGUCACGUCGGGUGUGAAAGCCCGGGGCUUAACCCCGGGUCUGCAUUCGAUACGGGCUAGCUAGAGUGUGGUAGGGGAGAUCGGAAUUCCUGGUGUAGCGGUGAAAUGCGCAGAUAUCAGGAGGAACGCCGGUGGCGAAGGCGGAUCUCUGGGCCGUUACUGACGCUGAGGAGCGAAAGCGUGGGGAGCGAACAGG
This 253-nucleotide ribosomal RNA is filed under the name uncultured bacterium. Its description in RNAcentral is "partial 16S ribosomal RNA". It matches the Rfam family "Bacterial small subunit ribosomal RNA", at positions 524 to 776 of the family's 1533-position model. The record is from RNAcentral.